Dendronephthya gigantea is the source of this 373-nucleotide long non-coding RNA. RefSeq lists it as uncharacterized. The transcript has 3 exons. The record is from RefSeq and is a predicted model, not a curated record. Lineage: Eukaryota; Metazoa; Cnidaria; Anthozoa; Malacalcyonacea; Nephtheidae.
GCCUGUGGAACUAAAGUAACACGUGUUUUGGAAUCAUAAUAAAGAUGCAGAUUUGAACUUCAUGAGUUAUUUUACUUUGAGAGCGAUCAGGCAACGUUUCAGUAAACUGCAGUUCACAAUAAUGCCGUAUUAUGCUGUACGCGUUGGCCGAAAACCGGGAAUUUAUUUGACAUGGGAGGAAUGCAAGAAGCAGGUUGAUGGAGUUAGUGCAAAAUUCAAGAAAUUUCUUACUAUAGAUGAAGCCGAAGAAUUCAUGGCAAUAAAAGACCCAAGAGAUAACAAAAUAACACGCAAAUUUCAUGCCAAACCGAAAAAGGAGCGUAGCCAGAAACGAAAACACGAGGAGCCGGAGGAGGAAAAUUGGAGUUUUGAA